GUGAAUCAUCGAAUUUUUGAACGCAAAUUGCACUUUCUGGGAUUCCUGAAAGUAUGCCUGUUUGAGGGUCAGUUAAAUAAAAAUCUUUGUUUUUGCUGCUUUUCGUGGUGACGCGUCGGAAUUGAGUUGUCUUACCUUUGGUUAAGUGACUUAAAAUUUUGCAUGAUUUUUGAACGGAUUUAAAUUUCUUACGUACGUUUGAGAUAUCGAAUAAUUUCUUAUUUUUGGUCAUCCU
This 235-nucleotide unclassified non-coding RNA is filed under the name Glomeraceae sp. RNAcentral's name for it is "partial contains 5.8S ribosomal RNA and internal transcribed spacer 2". The stretch from base 1 to 71 matches the Rfam family "5.8S ribosomal RNA", at positions 84 to 154 of the family's 154-position model. Lineage: Eukaryota; Fungi; Glomeromycota; Glomeromycetes; Glomerales; Glomeraceae. The record is from RNAcentral.